RNAcentral lists this non-coding RNA (30 nucleotides) under Homo sapiens (human). The record is from RNAcentral. Lineage: Eukaryota; Metazoa; Chordata; Mammalia; Primates; Hominidae.
AGGGAUGUGAUGCCAGCCUUGGGUUAGGUC